Molecule: long non-coding RNA, 11494 nt
Organism: Acinonyx jubatus (cheetah)
Lineage: Eukaryota; Metazoa; Chordata; Mammalia; Carnivora; Felidae
Exons: 3
Source: RefSeq, a predicted model, not a curated record
AAAGAAAAGGUCACAGCUCUACCAACUGAGCCAGCCGGGUGCCCCUCUAUGGAGCAUGUUUUAAAGACCAGAAGUUUUUGGUUUGCACAUAGCUGAAAUGAGUAAAGAGAUAUCUGUUUCUUGAGAUCAUAAUCCUAUUCCCAGAGAUGAUAAGUAACAAACAACAACAGCCAUAAAAGCUGGUCCAUAAUUUUUACACUUUAUAUGAGGUUUCCUUUUGAAUGACAAGAGACAAACUUCGGGGUUUCUGUCACUAAAAUAAAAAAUACAGAGGGAAUUGUAGAAUCUAUGUCUGGGGAAAUACUUAGGCUAGAAACCUGUUUGGGAUGAUUUAUGGCUUGUUCAAAAGUAAGGGCAUGGUUUCUUUGUUACUUCUGGCUCAGUAGUCAUUAUUAUUAAGUUUCUCAUUUUUUUAAAGCCAAGUGUUAAGAAAGGGAUGGGAACAAGUAAAGACAGGGCAAAGUCAGCAAAAUAAUAGUUGAGAUCUAUAGCAAAGCAGAAUGACUUAAUAGGUUACAUUAGGUAGGUUAAGGUGAAAAACCUACAAUAUUUUCUUUUCUGGUAUUUUUAAAAGAAAAUGAGAAUCUUCAACAAAAAUCCUAUCUACAAAGACUUUGGAUGAUUCCAUAGAACAAUGGCUGAUGUACAUUAGCAUUCAUUGUGGGGCACAGACUUUGGGAAUAAACCCUUUCCUGAAUACUGAUGACCGUAAACACACCAGCUGAGCUAUUUGUUAUUAUUACGAAUUAGAUGUGACUGAACUUCCAUUAUAUAUAUAACUCGUUCCAUCAUGUAACUUGACCAUUGGGCGUAUUUUAAUUAUUGAACCAAGAAAUGAAUAACUGGAAAGGAUGACACCUAAGAAGAAAUUAAUUCAAAUUUUUCUGGAUUGGCCUACCACUGAAGAACUCCGAAUUGGUUUUUUUCCCCCUUUUGUUAUCUAAAAAAAAAAUAUUCAUACAUCUACAAGAUAGAGGUAAAGGGCAGGAAAAUAGAGGAAGGAAACACUCUGGAUUGAGGACCUACAGUAAGUGUUCCAUGUACCCCAUGUUUUACAUGCUUGGACCCUAAGCCCUAUUAUAUGUUGUUUGCUCCAGUGAUCAGAUGUCCUGCUGUACUGUUCUCCCUCUCGUCUAACGGUAUCUGAGCUUUUCUGUUGUCACUACUUGAUUUAAACAGUCUGUUCCAUGCGUUACUCUAAAUUGCUUCAUCUUUUUUGAAGUAGGAUGUAAAUUAUAAAUAAUAAGUGGUGAAUUUGGCCAGUUUUGACUGACCUCGUUAGACUUUAAAUGGGAAUCAUAGAGACCCACAAAUGUACAUUUCAGUUGCUUUGGCACCGAGGGGUAAUGGCUAGAGUUCAUAAAUAAAAUAACAAAAUGAUUCUGUCUUGCGUGCACUGCAGGGGAAGCAACAGAGAGAUGUAGUCCUUGGCCCAUUCUGGUCAGGAAGCUGGGAAAUCACUGGGCUGUGUAUCCCCAACAGGCAGACCUGCAGCCCAGCCUGUUAGCACUGAGCAGCUCCAACUGCACGAUCGAGGGCAGUCCUCACAAUGUGGGAAAGACUGUGGGAAAGACUAUUGUUUGAUUGUUGGUCUUCUCAGCCACAUUGCACCAAAGUAUCUCUCCUCAAUUUAUUAGAGUGCAAGAGUCUCUUACCUUCACAAACUUGGAUACGAGCAAGCUAAAUUAAGCUAUUUUACUUGCUUUGUUGGAAGAGGGGGACCAGGGUCAAAGUAACCUGGCCUGAAAGCACAUUGUGCUGGUAGUAAGGAUUUGAACCCAUUCCUGCAAACUUCCAGUCCAGGGUUCCCUUUACUUCUAUUUCAAGCUGAAGACAUGUUUCAUUUGUUCAAUUUAGUGAAGUCGUUGUAAACUGGGCAUGGGUGCUGGAGAUACAGCUGUGGACAAGACAGAAAAUCCCCUGCUUUCGCAAAGCAUAUGUGCCCAGAGGGAAGGUAGGCAUUAAAUUAUAUAAUGUGUAUCAUGAUAAGAAAUACUUCAGAUCCCUUACAUGAUUCCGUGGAGGCGCCUAAUGAUCCCUAAUCUAGUAUAUCCAAAGACCUCCUGAAAGGCAUGGUGUUUAAGAGAACACUGACAGACUAAUGGGAGUUACCCAAUCAAGGAGGUGGUGUGGGGCAGAGCCUAUGCAGACUGCCUGAGAUGAGAUAAAGAAGAGAAAGAAGUCCUUAAGGUUGGCGUGAGUGUUCCAGGAUGGGCAAUCACUACACCAAACCAAGGCUUUUAGAAGUAAUCCUAAAGACGAGGGGAGAGGGAGGGAAACAGGUUGCCAAUGGGUACGGAUUGAAAGCCGCAGAGAGCGCUAGCAUUAGCUAAAUACCCCAGAAUAUGCAUGUUUCAGCUUAGAUCCCCCGGCCUCAUCUCACCUGAUAAUGUGAAGAAGGCACACAUAGUUAUUUUCCUAAAUGUAGAGUGGGGGAAAGAGAAGCCAGUGCUCUCCUACUUGACGCUCUUCUUCAACUUCUUCAACAUAUGUCUGUGAAGCUGCUGUAUUCAAAGGCAUACACGCCUUGCGCUGGGCGCUAACGAAGAUUCAGUGGGCAAGUGAAUUAUGUGCUGAGUGCUUGCUCAUGACACUCUCAGAGCUGUGGUUACGGGAGGGCUUGUUUACACUAAUGCGAUGAAAAAAGAGGACAAAACUAAAUGAGAUGGUCUGUCUGCAAACAGACAUUCUACAGAUGGCUUAAUGUUUUAAUAAACAACUAAGUUGGUCUCGGGAUCAUAUCCAAGGAUAAGAGAACUGGGGAGUUUAGAUUUUUAAAAAAGAUUACCCCUGAAUGUCAAUUUUAUGGUACCAAAUUACUCUUUGCCAAGAUAAGAGUGCCAACCAUGUGCCAGAUGCCCCAAGUUUGCCUUCUGUUUUAAAAGGACUUAACCUAUUCAUAGUAUUAAGGGAAUUUAUACAGCUUUCUUAACAUGCUAUACACCAAUUUUCAUAUCUCAACACGAACAGGUUUCUUGUUGUAUUUGAAACAUGCUAAGGUGUCACGUCUUACCAUUCUUAUAUGAUUUCAUUGAUACAUUCACUCAACAAAUACUGAGUGUCUCGUUGUACCAGACGGAGGAUGCAAAGUCCUGUUCUUAAGGGGUUUAUAGCCUGGAAAAUCGGAAUGAAAUGAUUAAUGGUUAUGGAAAGUAUUUCUUAGCCAUUCUUCUUACUACUACCUCUAAUAAAAUAUUUAAAGUUGCAUUUUAUAAACAUUUUCAAAUCUCUCUCUCUUUUUUUUUUCUCUUAGAAUUGUGUGAAAAUGCUCUUUUUCUGGGCAUCUUUCACUUAGUGUUAUGCCAUAGAGGCUCACAUCAUGAAUUAACAGGGAGAUUCACUGCCAUGAUUCAUCUUAGUUAAUUCUUUAUGUUUAAAAAGGAAGGAAGAAAGGAAGGAAGGAAGGGAGGAAAGAAAGAAGGGAGGAAGAAAGAAAAAAAAGAAAGAAAAAUAGAAAGAAAAUGCUAAUGAGCAUAGCUCUCCAUGAAACUCUUUAUGGAUAAUGUAUAAUAAGAAAAAAAUUAAGCAAAUAUUUUGGGGAACAGCAAUUUAAGAGCAUAGAAAGGAAAAGUGAAAUAUAAUAAAUAGAAUUGUACAAUAAUCAGUUACUGUUAACCAAAGUUGGGAAAACAGGAGAUUAAUAAUCUGUCCAUACAAUCUAAAGAAAAUCCUCAAUUACAUAAGCUAAGAUCUAAAUCAGACAUGUUAUAGAGAGGAAAUAACUUACUGCAAUUCCUUAAUUCAGCAUUAAAUCAUAUUUCAGCCACCAAUUGCCCUUUUGAAAUCCACCUAGUGACUAAAGGUAUGUCUCUUGCCUAGAAAUAGGUCAAUUAAAUAACACAUUGCAAAUGAAUAUGUGAUAUCUGAUUUCAUAAGUCAUUUAAUGCUUAAUAAGACAAGCAAAUCAAUCAAGGGGAAAAAAUAGUUCAAAUCUGUUGAUGCUGUGGAUUUUGUUUUGCUUCUUUAAUUUUAAAAUCUCGGUAUUACAAAUCAGAAUUUUUCAUUACAUUUCUCUUUUCUUCAGUCUCAAGUGCCGGGUUAUUGAAUCCAUUGUGUUAUAUAUGUAAAUUUUAAAGUGCAAAUUGUUUUUAUUUCAUGUGCUUUUAAAAAUGUUGAUUGCAGAUAGAAGGUUCUAUGGAUAAGAAUUCGUAACUGCAUACAAGUAGGCAUUUUUAAAAACUGUGCAUCAUUUUAUUUUUUUUUAAGUUUAUUUACUUAUUUUGAGAAAGAGAGCAGGGGAGGGGCAGAGAGAGAGGGAGAGAGAUGGAUCUACACCAUCAGUGCAGAGCCCAAUGUGGGGCUCAAACCUACGAACCAUGAGAUCAUGACCUGAGCCAAAAUCAAGUCAGUCACUUAAUUGAGCCACUCAGGUGCCCCAAAAACUGUGCAUCAUUUUAAAUAUGCAUCCUCAUACUUUAGGAUUAGUGAAUUAAAAGAGGAACAUUACCAUUUAGAGUUUCCAUAAACUUGCAUUCACUGAUUGCCCAGAGUUUAAGCACAAGUGAUUUUAAUAAUAUCACAACCUCACUCAGUAACUCACAGCGGCUCCAGACUCAUCUUUUGUCUUUAUUUGGGGCCUGUUGUCUACCACCCAGUUCAGAGCUUAUUGGUAGUUUUUUUUUUUUAAGUUUAUUUAUUUAUUUUGAGAGAGAGAGGCAGAGAGAGGGAGACAGAAUCCCAAGCAGGCUCCAUGUUGUCAGCACAGAGCCUGUUGCCGGGCUCGAACCCACGAACUGUGAGAUCAUGACCCAAGCAAAAGUCAAGAACCAGAUAUUUAGCCAACUGAGCCACCCAGAUGCCCCUGAGAUUAUUGGCAGUUUUAACCAAGAUUCAGUAAAGUCCUUUCUUAACUCUAUAAAUUUUAAGAAUAAUUGUUUCAAAGCAUAAAAUACCAGAAAAUUAUAAAUUGAAAAACUGAAUACUAGAGUUUUAUGAGAGGAGUUUUAUCAAAGCACACAUUCACAUCCUGCAGGGAGCCUAAUGGUGGUACCUCACAGAGACUCCUCCCUCCUCUUUUCCUCCUGGACACAUACAACUUUAGCACAUUUCCUAGAUGCUCUUCUUGGGGUCAUGUGACUGAGUUCUGGCCAAUGAAAAUUAUGCACACCAUUUGUAGGUUUGCCCCCAAAAAUCAUCUUGCACAGGCCUCCAAGUUCUGUCUUUUCCUUUGAGCAUCAGAUGCACAGAAUUCAAGGAAAUACUGAGGUUUGGGGGAUGGAAAGAGGCCACUCUGAGGAAGUACAUGGAAUAUUUUUCCCCCUCUCCCUCCCAUUGCACUUGCACUGGAUCGUGACUGGAGCAGGAAAUGAACCUGUAUUGCAUUAGGUCCCUGAGGUUGGGGGUUGUUUAUCAUAGCAAUCAAUACACGACGUGUGAUACAGUUGGUAAAGGGAGAUAGUGGGUAGGAGAAUGAGAAAGCAAAUAUCCUUGCUUUCUAGUUUGCCACUAAUGCUUUCUUACUGUGUGGAAAUGAAUAUAGCAACAGCGAAAUCACGUGAUAUGAGUGCCAGACACAAAUAAAAAACUUACUAAACCAACAUAUUAAGGUUCAAAUAUAGUUGAGUAUCUUGCUACCAUCUUGUUUUUUGUUUUUCUUCAACCAAGUUCUGCAUACCUGUGUCUGCAGACAUACCUGUGUCUGCAUAUCCAAAUUCUGCAUAUUUCCCCAAACAUAUAUAGCUGCUGACUUGUCCUUGGAACCAAUUAUUCAUGUCUUCACUCAAUAUUCCCCCCCCCCAACUGAUUAUUUAGCUCCUAUCCUCCACUCCUUUUCUAAGUUCUUAAAAUAAUUUUCUAUGUUGGGUGGCGGGGUGGCUCAUGUGGUUAAGCGUCCAACUCUUGGUUUCGGCUCGGGUCAUGAUCUCACGGUUUCAUGGGGUCGAGCCCCACAUCAGAUUCUGCUCUGACCCCAUACAGCCUGCUUGGGAUGCUCUGUCUCCCCCUCUCUCUGCCCCUCUCCCAUUCAUGCUGUCUCUGUGUCUCUCAAAAUAAAUAAGUAAACUUAAAAGAAAAAUAAAUAAAUAAAAUUAUUUUCUGUUUUUCAUAAGUUGUUGAUAACCACUGAAUUUGCAAGGGGAGGAAGACGGAAUCAAUUAUUUCAGCAUAGAAAUAAAAGCCAGUUUUUAAAAAUCACAAUUUUUUAUCGUUAAAAAUUAACUUUUUUUCCUGGUUUUUUUUCCACCAGAUAUUACAAUAUGUUAUAAUGUUAUGGUAAUCAAAACCAGAAUAGUGAUAAUGCCACAACAAACAGAUCAAUGGAUUGAAGUAGAAGACCCAGAAGCAAACUCAAGUGCAAGCAAUGGAGGGAGCAUCAACACAAACAAAACAGGCGUCAGCCAGAAAGCCUAUAGGAAACCAUGGGAGGAAGAUCAAAAUCAGAUUCUUAGAAGUGAGCUGUUCCAGGAGCAGCUUGCGCCCUGAGCAGAGAGGAAGAGUGGCCACCCCAAGCCCCUUCCUGGAAUCUACACUCAGCAGCUCAGCCUCAAGCCACCGUGGCUUUGAACUGUGACGGUGAGCGUCUGUGUUUUGGCUUAAUUUAUUCUGUGCAUCCAUUAGCAAGAUGUGUCCUAAGGAAUCAGAAAAGCUUAAGUGAGUUUAUUCUUUGGAUCUUGGAAUGCUCAAAACAAUUUUCCAUAGACAUUAACGGUAAUUGCUUCUCUGCUUUCUGUCAUUUGGGGUUCUGAAAGCUUUCGGGGAUACACUCUACUUUGGGGUAGCAGAGGAAUCCUGUAUCGUGUCUAGAAAAAAUAAAGGCUCUCGACUCUUCUUAACCUUCUGGAGUAUAACAUUUAGUUAAAUUCUAGUACCGCACACUAAGACCGACAUUAAUAAACUCAACUGCAGUGUUGUCUGAACUUUUUUUAAAUAGUAUGGUGACCCCAGAAAAUGAUAAUAUUUGUAGGAUACACGUCAGGGGGAAAUGCCUUGCUGGGCCACUCUUAGGCCUGAGGGACUAAUACACUGUCAAGAACUAACGUAUUUCUCUUAGAGAAUCUUUUGUUUCUAACAGAAAUUGUUGUUUGAGUGCUGAUAACGAGAGAAUAUUUACAUGACGAGGAGAGAGACCUUUGUUAUGUUGACGAACUCUUCAGGACCCAGGAGAGGACAUACAAAUGAACAGGGUGCUUCUGUCACGUACAUGCCAAGGUCACCACAGCACCCAUAGGAAAUGAUAAGAUUUUGGCACACUUCUGAUACACUGUUUGCGGAGUUCUGCUCUGUUGUGUCAGGAGAAAAACAAGUGAGAUGGAAGGAGAGGCCUUGAAGCCACAGCCUUAAUAAUUAGACUAGCCCCAAUUAAUUAAGUACCUCCAAUAAAAGGCACUCUGCAUGUAUUGGCUUAUUUAACCCCUUUAACAACUACAUGGGAUGGGUGUUAUUUCUUUUCCUUUCCAUUAAGGAAAUCGAAGCUUAGUGUUAUAUUCAGGUCCAUGGGAGUGGUAAAUGCCAGAGCCGUGUUUUGAAUCUAGGCCGGACCCCCCAAUCCCACAUUCUUUUCUCCGCAAACAGCAGGACAUAAGGGGCUUCUGUGUGCCUAAGUGUCUUCGAAUGUUAAAGGACUCUUAUAUGACAGAGAGAAUAGAAAAUUCUAAUACUGUAGGAGGUCAAGCCAGUAGCUAUGAGUGGAAUCGUGAAGGAAGACAGGCUUUACCUCAGAAUAAAGAAGAAAUGAUAAUCUCAUGAAGGUAGAACUUCUCCCCCCAUAUGGUAUUUAGCAAGUGAUUACUUCUUAGGGAAUUUUAGAGGAGACUCUUGUUUGGAUGACCUCUGCUUUCUUCCAACUUCAAGAGUAUGAUGUUAUUGGAAUAUAAAAAGCAUGAGAAGAUCCCUUUACAAAUAUCGUUUCUCUUACAUGAACUUUCUAAGGAGGGAUUUGUAUUUUAGAUUAACUACAGGUGGAUGAAGAGCUCAUUUGCGUUCUUGAUCCAAGAGAGAAGGAUCAAUAAUUCUCCAAAGAGUUUACAAGUGCCUUUGUUAGAAGACUGCCCUAUUAUUCUGCACCUUCCAGGGCCUGGGCCUGGAGUUUUCCUUCUGAAAAAUCAAAAUACAGUCUGCAACUCCCACCACCGCAGGACUGAGAUGGACCAAAGAGUAUCCAUUACUUUCCAUAAGUCUUCCCAAAGAAGUGAAUGGACACCAAUUAGCAAGAAAUCUUGAAAUCCAUAGAUUAUUCUACUUUGGGGAAUGGUUUAAGUGUUUAUUUCAUGUGAUUUUGUUGGUAUGUGUAAGAGAAAGCACUGUAUUUAUUUUCAGAUUUUCUCUUUUUUAAAGAGGGCAUAAUACCUUUUUCAUUUCCCUACCACCUGUUUAAUAAACACACUUCCAGUUUUUACUUUAGAAUAGCAACUAGUCUGAUAAAUCAAGGGUUCUCUAAGAAGAAUAUUUGUAUCCUAGGGGCACCUGGGUGGCUCAGUUGGUUAAGCAUCCAACUUCAGCUCAGGUCAUGAUCUCACGGCUUGUGAGUUCGAGCCCCGCGUCGGGCUCUGUGCUGACAGCUCAGAGCCUGGAGCCUGCUUCGGAUUCUGUGUCUCCCUCUCUCUCUCUCCCCUCCUCAGUUCAUGCUCUGUCUCUCUCUUCUCAAAAACAAAUAAAAACAUUAAAAAAAUUUUAAAAAGAAGCAUAUUUGUUUCCUUGAGUGAUUAAAAUAAUUUGCCACUGACGUGGUAUAGAGAACAUGGAAGACCAGCCAGCAUCUCUGCUUGCUAUCCCCCAGUGUUCUCCCAGGCUUUGUGCCUUUUCUCUCGCCUCUUUACUUUCUUUCUUUGUCUCUUUUUAAAUGUUUAUUUAUUUAUUUUGAGAGAGAGAGAGAGAGAGAGAGAGAGAGCGAGCACAGGGGGAGGAGCAGAGAGAGAGGGAGACAGAAUCUCCAGCAGGCUCUGAGCUGUUAGCAUGGAGCCCGAUGCCAGGCUCGAACUCACCGACCCCAAGAUCAUGACCUGAGCUGAGAUCAAAAGUCAGACGUUUAACCGACUGAGCCACCCAGGUGCCCCUCCUCUUUACUUUCUUUAGGAGUCCCACAAAGAGUCUGAAAUGAUUUUGGAACUGUAAAUAUUAUCUCCUUGAUCUUCAUUCUCCAAAACCAAAGGUGAUUAAGAGACAAAAUCUAAACCAUCACAGGGAAGGAAAUUCUAAAUAGAGAUGUGACUGUUCAAUCACUUGCAAAUGAUCUCCCUUUUCCUUGAGUAACAGUAUGCUUCCUUACAAGGAAAGAAGAAUGAUUGAAGACAGAGGGAAUGUCUAGUGGAUCUGGAUUCUAGAUAAUUCUGUCAUUGAUAGCAUUAAUCAUUUGUUAAAUGAAGGUGAACACAAAAAAUAUCAAUAAAAUUUGCUGAAUGAUGUCUACCUAGAUAAAAUAUCCAUAUGAUUUAUUUCCUGUCGCAUUUUUCCUACCAUUUUUUAAAAGCCAGAUCAUAGACAGGUGAUCAAAAAGUGCUUGUUGAAUAAACAAAUGAUAUAUCAUGAUUGGGAGAUAAUGCUAGAGAUAAUUAUAAUUGUACAGGUGAUUAUAACUCCAUAAUCCUUGAUAUCCAUAUUUAAGAUAACUGCCUGGUAAGUGAAACCACCUUAAAACUCAAGUCCUUUCAGUUGCAUAGAUUCAUUAAUAAGGAUCUAAGACAAACUCAAAAUCUUAAUUUUGCUUCAAAACAAUAGGACCAGUGAUCAUUUCUUCUUUGACAAGCCGAGAAAAUGACAGAGUGUUUAAGAGUGCAGGGACGCCUGGGUGGCUCAAUCGGGUAAGCAUCUUGACUUCAGCUCAGGUCACGAUUUCAUGGUUCAUGGGUUCAAGCCCCGCAUUGGGCUCUGUACUGACAGCUCAGAGCCCGGAGCCUGCUUCAGUUUCUGUGUCUCCUUGCCUUUCUGCUGCUCCCCGACUCAUGCUCUGACUCUUUCUCUCUCAAAAAUAAAUAAAGAUUAAAAAAAAAAAGAGUGUAUAUUCAGGUUUGAGACUGUUGGAAUCCGGCUCCAUCACUUAUCAGCUUUAUCACACUGAGCAAGUUUCUGAUCUAGGUUCUCUCAUCUCUAUCUAUAAAAUGGGGAUAACUCAGAGGGCUAUUAGGAGGAUUAAAUGGGAUAAAUCUUGUAAAGUACUUGGCAUAUUUUAAACCCAUAUACUAUCUCUAGAAAGUAUAGUCAGGGGCAUCUGGCUGGCUCAGUCGGUAGAGCAUGUGACUCUUAAUCUCAGGGUUGUGAGUUCUAGCCCCAUGUUGAGUGUAGGGAUUACUAAAAAAAAAAAAAAAUCUUAAAAAAAGAGUGCAGUCACUAUCAGUACCAGAAACUUUGUUAUUCUGAAGUCUGGGGACAUAAUGCCAUGGAGGUUUGUAAAUGGGUUGACAAGUGCUUCUAAGCCUAGGCAGAGUUCAGAAUAUUAUCCUAGAAAAUAAAGAAGAAUACUGUGUAAAUGGAGUUGCAAAUCUCUUUGUAUUGAGCUGGCCGUUCAGUACCGUAACAAUCUUACAGACGCUCAAGUUAUUCAAGUUUAAGACAAUCCCUGAUGAAUUAGUUCAAUUACUGUGAUGUGGGCCAAAGAGCAAGGUUACAUACAUCCUUUUUGAGAGAGAAAUACCAUUUUAUAUUAGUUUUCAGACUCCUUCAGUUAGAUUUUCCACUGGGGUGUUUUUUUUUAACCACAUUUAAAUUUAACUUCUUGUUCACUUUUCUUACUACUUGUUUUUGUCUAGCAUGGUUUUUGUGCCUUCAGGUGCAUAUGAAUUAUUUAUGCACCCAUAUGAUUUUCUUUCGACAUCUCCUUGCUAUGUUUUAAGUGAAAAGUUAUGAAGGAAUAUUAAAUAAGAUGAGAGCAAAGCCAAGGGAAAUGCAAUAUAGUUAUGUGUGUGUACUGAUAAUUCCAGUCGUCAAGUCUUAGUGGACUCAGCUGAAAAAAACAAAACAAAACAAAACACGUACCUGCCUUCACAAGUUGCUCAUUUUAUAUCACCCUAAGGCAAGAUUAUUUCCUAGAAGACAUCAUUCUGUAAUAUAACCCGUUCUCACCUCUAAAUCUCCCUAGCCCCCACUCCAAAUACCAGGUAAUUUUACUAAAUCAUAAUACAUUUUGUUAGUAGUGUGGGGAAAGGGACUAAAUGAAUGUUGGAUCAUCUAUUUUGCCACUGGGUAAAUUACAAAGUUCCAUUUCUCUGAAUCAAAUGCAUUUGCAAAUCAAACCCUGCAGUAGCUGCAAAGAAGCAGACAUUGCUAGACUCAUAUUUUACAUUCAUUUUAAGUCAUAAAUCUUUAGAGUGCCGUUCUCAGUCCACAGAUACAAUUAUAUAUCUCUCUCCAUGCUGUUCACAGAGAGUAGAAGAAUUUGCCACUCUUGCACUAUUCUAUCUGAACAAUUCAUAUCUUUAACAGGUCUUUCACAGAGACCCAUCUCUCCCUUAAUCUUCUCCCAAAGCCAUAACACUCAUGCAUUUUUCUAUGAUGGAGAGACAGUUUUAGCAUGAAAUGCCCAACUUUGCAUUUUCAUCUUCAAAAUCUCCUCUCUGUAGGGAGU